GAGUAAUGUCUGGGAAACUGCCUGAUGGAGGGGGAUAACUACUGGAAACGGUGGCUAAUACCGCAUAACGUCGCAAGACCAAAGAGGGGGACCUUCGGGCCUCUUGCCAUCAGAUGUGCCCAGAUGGGAUUAGCUUGUUGGUGAGGUAACGGCUCACCAAGGCGACGAUCCCUAGCUGGUCUGAGAGGAUGACCAGCCACACUGGAACUGAGACACGGUCCAGACUCCUACGGGAGGCAGCAGUGGGGAAUAUUGCACAAUGGGCGCAAGCCUGAUGCAGCCAUGCCGCGUGUAUGAAGAAGGCCUUCGGGUUGUAAAGUACUUUCAGCGGGGAGGAAGGUGUUGUGGUUAAUAACCACAGCAAUUGACGUUACCCGCAGAAGAAGCACCGGCUAACUCCGUGCCAGCAGCCGCGGUAAUACGGAGGGUGCAAGCGUUAAUCGGAAUUACUGGGCGUAAAGCGCACGCAGGCGGUCUGUCAAGUCGGAUGUGAAAUCCCCGGGCUCAACCUGGGAACUGCAUUCGAAACUGGCAGGCUUGAGUCUUGUAGAGGGGGGUAG
RNAcentral lists this ribosomal RNA (560 nucleotides) under Salmonella enterica. Its description in RNAcentral is "bacterial SSU rRNA". It matches the Rfam family "Bacterial small subunit ribosomal RNA", at positions 108 to 664 of the family's 1533-position model. The record is from RNAcentral. Lineage: Bacteria; Pseudomonadati; Pseudomonadota; Gammaproteobacteria; Enterobacterales; Enterobacteriaceae.